Esox lucius (northern pike) is the source of this 1335-nucleotide long non-coding RNA. RefSeq lists it as uncharacterized. NCBI's taxonomy places the organism in Eukaryota, Metazoa, Chordata, Actinopteri, Esociformes, Esocidae. The transcript is spliced from 3 exons. The record is from RefSeq and is a predicted model, not a curated record.
CAAACGUAACAAUUGGGGAAUCACCCAUUGACCUACAUCGACAACCUUUAUCAACAGACCUCUUAAGGUCCAAUCUGGUAGUGUUGAAAUGAACUUUUAACUGCCAAAUAACAUUGAGCAGUCUAAACAGAGGCAAAAACGCAGGUUUGGGUGGCGCUACAGGAGAAUGAACUGCGGGGAUAAUGGAAGGACAGUUUAGAUUCACAAAGUGCUUGGCCAAUCAGGCGAUGAGUCAGUCGUGCUGUGUGAGAACACUUGGUUCCACCGAAUAAAAAAGGGAGGAGGGUGGUGUAAUGGGUACCAGGAUCCAGAAUGCAAUCAGGGAGCUUUGUGCUGUACAGCAAUAUGAUGAAGUGAUUUCUUCUGUUCACCAUUCGUCCUAGUACUCGAGCACUGUGAAAAGGCUACACUCCCGCACUCCUUCACGAGCCACGUCCGAUCACUUCCACACGAGCAAGACGGGCGGGAAGUUCACCUCCAUUAAUGAAAGAGUCCCUUAUCAGUGACUGAAAGGACGUGAGCCCAAGGGCAAACCGAUUCCCCAGAAGACGGAGCAAGAAGCACUUUUCACAUCGCUAAUUACACAUCUGCCGCAAUUACCUCUCUGUACAUCAUUUUUGCAAUUACAGAAAAGCUAAUUGUGAAAUUAGCCAUUUUUCACUGCGGUGAGAAUCACGGUCCAGAUGUUUAGCAGAGAAAAACGGGGACCCUGAACACAUCGAUGGGGCGAGAAAGCUAGCGUUACUCGUCAAAAGGCUAAGGAUGUCUGCGGUCGUGGACAACAAGAUAUUCUCGGUAUCUAUUCACCAGGUACCUUGUGCAGACAGAGACAUAAGAGAAAUGAACGCUUGGCAGUUGGCCGACCAGAAAAAAAUAAAAAUCGACCUGGCUGCGUUUGCGCCCCGCGGCAGAAAUGAAAGUCUGGACAAGCCUCCUGCCAAGGAGACACAGUACAUUUCAGCCAAUCAGAGGGGAAACUCAUAAUCAACUGAAUUAUCUCACCUACAUCCUACCGGACAGAAGCCUACUACAGAUCCCACCUAGAUCCUACCAGACAGAAGCCUACUACAGAUCCCACCUACAUCCUACAAAACAGAAGCCUACAACAGAUCCCACCUACAUCCUACCAGACAGAAGCCUACUACAGAUCUCACCUACAUCCUACCAGACAGAAGCCUACUACAGAUCUCACCUACAUCCUACCAGACAGAAGCCUACUACAGACUUGAAGUAAACCAGUAAGGUGUGUAGGUCUAGUAGUUAACCCGGUGAAUGAAUACCUUCUAUUGAAUGGGUCAAUAUUCUUGAUUAUCAAAAUAAAAACAUAUUUCCUCA